Molecule: long non-coding RNA, 351 nt
Filed under: Elaeis guineensis (African oil palm)
Lineage: Eukaryota; Viridiplantae; Streptophyta; Magnoliopsida; Arecales; Arecaceae
Description: long non-coding RNA (EGUI_LNC024327)
Source: RNAcentral
CAUGAUCCUGUUCCACUUCCUGUAGCGGAUUCCGCGCGGCUCCAUCACCCCCUGCGGCGGACCCAUUACUCUCUGACAGGCUGUGUCAACGGCCACGAUUCUGCUCCACUCCCUGCGGCAGGUGCUGCGCGACUCCACUACUCCCUGACAACUAGCGGCAAUGGACGCCGCUCCACUACCUGCAACUGGCUCUACGUAGCAGGCCGUAACAAUAGCCACGUGUCUACUCCUCUAUCCUUCGCAAUCAAUUUCCCUGACCAUGGGCGGCCCACUACCAGACGGUUACAAACGUCGCCAUCAAUCCGUUGCCCCCUCCGCCUAUAAAAGGGGGACCCAGAUACGUUAUUCUCU